AUGUGAUUGAUAAUUAUCUUGUUUUUCUUUCAGGCUGGGUCACGACCUCACGUCAUCUUCGCUAAAAGUGAGGUUAGGAUCACCGUCUAUGAUGAUGGUUCCGCGAACAAGGCUCUUCCUACUGGUUUCGAGGCAGACAUUGAGGUGAUAGACCUCUUCGACCCUCAAGAAUACAAAGCCUUCAUGAGGUCCAACGCCUACCCUCACAUACGGCGCCUCCUCCUCGGCUAGUGACCCUGCGGUGCCAACACUCACUACGUCGCCAACACCACGUCGCGAAGGAUAUUGUGACGUCGAUAGUGUCCUUCUAGAUGAUACCCUUGCGGUGCUUACACUGGAAAAAUGCCCUUGUGAUGCCUUCACUGAUAGACUAUUUAAUUAAGCCUUGCGGUGGCUACACGGAAAGAAAAGUUAUCACCGUGGUACCUACAGUGAAAGAUUUAUUAUCCCUGUCGUGCUUACAGUGAAAGAGUACUUAAUCUUAAAGUGCCUACAGUGAAAGAGUAUUUAUCCUCACAGUGCCUACAGUGAAAGAGUGCCUACAAACACUAAGAGAGAGAUAAAAGACACUGAACUGAAAACGAGUGUGACAUAAUGGACAUAAGACUAUGGGACACCUUUUAUCAGCUUAUCAGGAACAGCUCUCAUUGAUAUCGUAUUUAUCGAAUCGAGUGUUCUAGAAGCGAUGACGUCAUUAUUACCAUGGUGAUUGAUACCUGUCGAUGACGUAAGGUUUCAGAAGAAUUCAGAAGAAUUUGGAGUAAAGGGAGAAGAGAGUCCUUAGAGUAAGGAGGGGAAGAAAAGCUGAGGAACUAUGCCUGUAAAAGGAAAUAAGUAGGAGGUAAAAGUGGGGGGGCGAAACCCCUUGCUUGGUGGUUUGGUUGUUAUGGGGCACAUCAGGUGUUGACAGCAGAGAUGGAUGGUUAAAUAUUUAUGUACAUAUGCAUGUACAUAAAAUUAGAUAUAAAGCUAAAAUCUAGCUAAUAUCUAUAUGACUUUUUUUUGUCUGCUAUUGUUCGCAUCGUGAGGGGAAUCCCCGCAAAAAUAAUUAAUAUUACCUUUAUUUCAAAUGUGGUGAUUCACCAUGACGCCAGUGUUUAUAUUUUGGAGAUACUGAUGACUACCUUCUUAGUAUCUUUCAGGUCAAGGACGGACUAUGUGAUGGAAACGGGCAUUAGAGAAAUCGCUCUUGUAACAGGUCGAUGCCCCGUUUCUCUUGUUUGCCGUUCUCUCUUUCGUUUAAAAUCGAUUAAUCCUUCACUUUCUUUUUUCUUUCGUUUUUUUUUAUUGAUUUCUUAUUCGUACAGUUCUUUAUAUUUUCCUUUCGCUGUUUUUUUUCUUUACUCUAGUUCUAUUUUCUUCUUCUUCUUCUUCUUCUUCUUAUUAUUAUUAUUAUUAUUAUAGAAUCGGCGAGUCCCUUGAGGGGCGUGAAGGGCUCGGCUCCUGUUCAAAAGCGAUUCCUUAUCCCCUUAAUAAAUAAUAUGUAUAACGUAUGUUUAAUGUAUCUUACACACACACACACACACACACACACACACACACACACACACACACACACACACACACACACACACACACACACACACACACACACACACACACACUCACACACACACACACACAAAGCAUUGGUUAAUUAAAGCGAUUAUCAAAACAUAAACCAGCAUGUGUAUUUCGAUGCCGCUAAUGGGUUUAUGAUUUUUUUUGAUUUUGUAAAAUAUAAGUUGUAUGAUACUACCCCCUCCUUCGUUUUAUGUAAGCUAUAAACAAGAGUCUGUUAUGAAGACCCUGUUAAAUCUGUGAUGUGUUUUUUUUAUGAUAUAACAGUCGUGUAUGUGACUGAGAUAGACCUUAGUUCACUUUCUGUUUUUUUAUAUAUAUAUAUAUAUAUAUAUAUAUAUAUAUAUAUAUAUAUAAAGUGAUCGAAUGAUACAAUAAUAAUCAUGGUCUUGCUCUCUUAAAACAAAAGAAAAGAAAAAGAAAAAAGAAAAAAAAAAUACACACUUUAAGUUACCAUUCCAGUGUAUCUUGCAAUAAGUACGGACGCUGGAUUCUGCACCAUGCUUUGUAAAUAAUUGCACAAAAAAAAUGGCAAAAGACUAAUUCAAUAUUAGUUAACUUGCUAUUCGAAUUUCUCCCUGGAAAUCUAACAGCUAAUCUAUACGAAAAAUGUACGUAGAAAUCUUGCUAUUGAACUUGUCAUGAUUGCAACAAUUUUCCAGUUGAACCUUUCAUCAAUAAUGAAAGGUUCGUAGAAAAUUUACAUUUCUUAAUCAUUUCCUUUAUGGCGUCGCUAUUUUUUAUCUGAAUUAGGAAUUUACAGGUUCCGAUACAGGUCAUAGUAAUCUAACUAUCUCACCUGUAUUUUAGUCCUGUAGUCCUCACAGGUUAGAGUGACUGUCUUUGUAAUGCCAUAUUGUAGUUACCUGAUUAAACUAUAGCUGUGUAA
RNAcentral lists this long non-coding RNA (2449 nucleotides) under Penaeus japonicus. Its description in RNAcentral is "uncharacterized LOC122252192". Lineage: Eukaryota; Metazoa; Arthropoda; Malacostraca; Decapoda; Penaeidae. The record is from RNAcentral.